UUUUUUUAUACCGCCCUGACUAUAACGUCCAGAAAGUUUUCAACCACUGCGAAAACAAAGCUAGGGAGACAUACCUCUGAGCUUCGUGGUCAUUCUAGCAGCACGUCUAUUAAGAUGGCUCUAGGUGUGUUGAAAGCAAAGAUGACAGCUUUACAGGAGAAGGUGGACGAAUCCGAGAAGAAAGCUAAUAUGUGGAAGGGGAUGGCUGAAGAAGAAAAAAGAUUACGUGAAAGGGCUGAGGGAGAAUUGGCGGAGGUAAAGAAGGAACUGAACUUGACCAAAGCAAAGCUGUCUUCUGCACUGCCGAUGCUUCCAGAAAUGGAAAGGAGACGACUGGAGGCAGAGACGCAGCUAACUGGAAUCUAAUCUAAUUACAUAUCUA
Molecule: long non-coding RNA, 382 nt
Organism: Clupea harengus (Atlantic herring)
Lineage: Eukaryota; Metazoa; Chordata; Actinopteri; Clupeiformes; Clupeidae
Source: Ensembl